This 500-nucleotide ribosomal RNA is filed under the name uncultured bacterium. Its description in RNAcentral is "partial 16S ribosomal RNA". It matches the Rfam family "Bacterial small subunit ribosomal RNA", at positions 28 to 523 of the family's 1533-position model. The record is from RNAcentral.
GACGAACGCUGGCGGCGUGCCUAAUACAUGCAAGUCGAGCGGACCUCUUCGGAGGUCAGCGGCGGACGGGUGAGUAACACGUGGGCAACCUGCCUGUAAGACUGGGAUAACUCCGGGAAACCGGAGCUAAUACCGGAUACUAUGUCAAACCGCAUGGUUUGACAUUCAAAGACGGUUUCGGCUGUCACUUACAGAUGGGCCCGCGGCGCAUUAGCUAGUUGGUGAGGUAACGGCUCACCAAGGCGACGAUGCGUAGCCGACCUGAGAGGGUGAUCGGCCACACUGGGACUGAGACACGGCCCAGACUCCUACGGGAGGCAGCAGUAGGGAAUCUUCCGCAAUGGACGAAAGUCUGAUGGAGCAACGCCGCGUGAGUGAUGAAGGUUUUCGGAUCGUAAAACUCUGUUGUCAGGGAAGAACAAGUGCCGGAGUAACUGCCGGCGCCUUGACGGUACCUGACCAGAAAGCCACGGCUAACUACGUGCCAGCCGCCGCGGUAA